Molecule: small RNA, 152 nt
Filed under: Novosphingobium sp. 9U
Lineage: Bacteria; Pseudomonadati; Pseudomonadota; Alphaproteobacteria; Sphingomonadales; Sphingomonadaceae
Description: yybP-ykoY
Rfam family: Manganese Mn2+ riboswitch aptamer (yybP-ykoY) (bases 1-124)
About the family: This RNA was originally discovered in E. coli during a large scale screen and was named SraF. The family was later found to exist upstream of related families of protein genes in many bacteria, including the the yybP and ykoK genes in B. subtilis.
Source: RNAcentral
AUUCCCGUCAUUGGGGAGUAGCCGACCGCUCGGGUUCGAGCGGGCCGCACGUCAACAUACUUGGUCGAGAGGCUAUGGCGUGCGGAGGGUGGCGCGAAGAUCGCGGAAGCGGUCGGCGCCGUUCGGGCGAGACCAAUGGCAUGGUGCCUUCU